This is a non-coding RNA of Salvelinus sp. IW2-2015, 441 nucleotides long. NCBI's taxonomy places the organism in Eukaryota, Metazoa, Chordata, Actinopteri, Salmoniformes, Salmonidae. The record is from RefSeq and is a predicted model, not a curated record.
CAGCUCCAUGACAUUCGAUGCAGGUCAGAGACAGACACAGCUCCAUGACAUAAGAUGCAGGUCACAGACAGAGACACAGCUCCAUGACAUUCGAUGCAGGUCAGACAGACACAGCUCCAUGACAUAAGAGCAUGUCACAGACAGACACAGCUCCAUGACAUAAGAUGCAUGUCAACAAACGACACAGCUCCAUGACAUAAGAUGGAGGUCACAGACAGACACAGCUCCAUGACAUAAGAUGCAUGUCACAGACAGACACAGCUCCAUGACAUAAGAUGCAGGUCAGACAAGACACAGCCAUGACAAUAAGAUGCAUGUCACAGACAGACACAGCUCCAUGACAUAAGAUGGAGGUCACAGACAGACACAGCUCCAUGACAUAAGAUGCAUGUCACAGACAGACACAGCUCCAUGACAUAAGAUGCAGGUCACAGACAGAGA